Long non-coding RNA from Apis dorsata (giant honeybee), 666 nucleotides. RefSeq lists it as uncharacterized. NCBI's taxonomy places the organism in Eukaryota, Metazoa, Arthropoda, Insecta, Hymenoptera, Apidae. The record is from RefSeq and is a predicted model, not a curated record. The transcript has 3 exons.
AAACAAUUGUCUUGCCUGAGGAGAUUUGGCGGUUGCCCCAAGAUGGCGGACUCGGUUGGCGUGCGACAAGCACGAGCUGAAAAGUGCCGAGAAUAUAAGAAGUUCGUGAUUCUGUGUUAAAUCGGUAGUGCGAGUUUCAUUUGUGGACAACUUACAGACCGUUAACGAAGAAAACGCUCUCGGAUAACAUAUAUAUGGAAUGCUAAGUUUUAGAAAGAACCAUAGGGGAUCUGAUUCUGGUUAAACUUUUACGCAGAUUUCGAAACCUUGGGGCGCUAAGAUCGUAAUCGAUCGUCCUUGUACAAACCAAGAUGAUCGUAAAACAAGCUAAUAGGAGCCACCUGGGACACUUUCAAUAACCUUGUUUCGAAAUUGAGCAAGCUCAUUCUCAAAUACGCGGCACCGCUUAUUAGUAAGGAAAAGUGCCACUCUGGUAGAAGUAUGAUCGAUGUCCACAUAGACAAAUAUGGGUCAUGAUGUAAAAACUGACUUGUCGUAGCUCGAAUAAUAUUUGCUUGUGCGCAUUUUCUUCAAAGUUAUUGACGAUCUAAAUUCACAAUUAACACAAUUAUUUCAUUAUUUCGUUAAUUACAAUGAAGGAGGAGCAUAAGAUGAGAACGAAAUAAUGAAUUAAAGAAAUACGAAGAUUGCAAAAAAGAUAUGAAG